UACGGAGGGUGCAAGCGUUGUCCGGAUUUAUUGGGUUUAAAGGGUGCGUAGGCGGCUUGAUAAGUCCGUGGUGAAAGCCAACAGCUCAACUGUUGAACUGCCAUGGAUACUGUCAGGCUUGAGUACAGACGAGGUAGGCGGAAUGGAUCGUGUAGCGGUGAAAUGCAUAGAUACGAUCCAGAACUCCGAUUGCGUAGGCAGCUUACUAGACUGUAACUGACGCUGAGGCACGAAAGCGUGGGGAGCGAACAGG
RNAcentral lists this ribosomal RNA (253 nucleotides) under uncultured bacterium. RNAcentral describes it as "partial 16S ribosomal RNA". It matches the Rfam family "Bacterial small subunit ribosomal RNA", at positions 524 to 776 of the family's 1533-position model. The record is from RNAcentral.